This 253-nucleotide ribosomal RNA is filed under the name uncultured bacterium. Its description in RNAcentral is "partial 16S ribosomal RNA". It matches the Rfam family "Bacterial small subunit ribosomal RNA", at positions 524 to 776 of the family's 1533-position model. The record is from RNAcentral.
UACGGAGGGUGCAAGCAUUAAUCGGAUUUAUUGGGCGUAAAGGGCGCGUAGGUGGGAAGCUAAGUCAGAUGUGAAAUCCCGGGGCUUAACCCCGGAACAGCAUUUGAAACUGACUUUCUAGAGGAUAGGCGGGGAAAAUGGAAUUCCACAAGUAGCGGUGAAAUGCGUAGAUAUGUGGAAGAACACCGGUGGCGAAGGCGAUUUUCUAGCUUAUACCUGACACUGAAGCGCGAAAGCAAGGGGAUCAAACAGG